GCAGUCGAACGCUUCUUUCCUCCCGAGUGCUUGCACUCAAUUGGCAAUAGGAGUGGCGGACGGGUGAGUAACACGUGGGUAACCUGCCCAUCAGAGGGGGAUAACACUUGGAAACAGGUGCCAAUACCGCAUAACAGUUUAUGCCGCAUGGCAUAAGAGUGAAAGGCGCUUUCGGGUGUCGCUGAUGGAUGGACCCGCGGUGCAUUAGCUAGUUGGUGAGGUAACGGCUCACCAAGGCCACGAUGCAUAGCCGACCUGAGAGGGUGAUCGGCCACACUGGGACUGAGACACGGCCCAGACUCCUACGGGAGGCAGCAGUAGGGAAUCUUCGGCAAUGGACGAAAGUCUGACCGAGCAACGCCGCGUGAGUGAAGAAGGUUUUCGGAUCGUAAAACUCUGUUGUUAGAGAAGAACAAGGACGUUAGUAACUGAACGUCCCCUGACGGUAUCUAACCAGAAAGCCACGGCUAACUACGUGCCAGCAGCCGCGGUAAUACGUAGGUGGCAAGCGUUGUCCGGAUUUAUUGGGCGUAAAGCGAGCGCAGGCGGUUUCUUAAGUCUGAUGUGAAAGCCCCCGGCUCAACCGGGGAGGGUCAUUGGAAACUGGGAGACUUGAGUGCAGAAGAGGAGAGUGGAAUUCCAGGUGUAGCGGUGAAAUGCGUAGAGAUCUGGAGGAAUACCGGUGGCGAAGGCGGCCCCC
This 700-nucleotide ribosomal RNA is filed under the name uncultured bacterium. RNAcentral describes it as "bacterial SSU rRNA". It matches the Rfam family "Bacterial small subunit ribosomal RNA", at positions 57 to 729 of the family's 1533-position model. The record is from RNAcentral.